AUUGAACGCUGGCGGCAUGCCUUACACAUGCAAGUCGAACGGCAGCACGGGAGCAAUCCUGGUGGCGAGUGGCGAACGGGUGAGUAAUGUAUCGGAACGUGCCCAGUCGUGGGGGAUAACGUAGCGAAAGCUACGCUAAUACCGCAUACGAUCUAUGGAUGAAGGCGGGGGAUCGCAAGACCUCGCGCGAUUGGAGCGGCCGAUAUCAGAUUAGGUAGUUGGUGGGGUAAAGGCCCACCAAGCCUGCGAUCUGUAGCUGGUCUGAGAGGACGACCAGCCACACGGGAACGGAGACGCGGUCCAGACUCCUACGGGAGGCAGCAGUGGGGAAUUUUGGACAAUGGGCGCAAGCCUGAUCCAGCAAUGCCGCGUGCAGGAUGAAGGCCUUCGGGUUGUAAACUGCUUUUGUACGGAACGAAACGGCUUUUUCUAAUACAGAGAGCUAAUGACGGUACCGUAAGAAUAAGCACCGGCUAACUACGUGCCAGCCGCCGCAGUAA
This 500-nucleotide ribosomal RNA is filed under the name uncultured bacterium. RNAcentral's name for it is "partial 16S ribosomal RNA". It matches the Rfam family "Bacterial small subunit ribosomal RNA", at positions 30 to 523 of the family's 1533-position model. The record is from RNAcentral.